RNAcentral lists this ribosomal RNA (569 nucleotides) under uncultured bacterium. Its description in RNAcentral is "partial 16S ribosomal RNA". It matches the Rfam family "Bacterial small subunit ribosomal RNA", at positions 355 to 1375 of the family's 1533-position model. The record is from RNAcentral.
UGGGGAAUAUUGGACAAUGGGCGGAAGCCUGAUCCAGCAACGCCGCGUGAGGGAUGACGGCCUUCGGGUUGUAAACCUCUUUCAGCACAGACGAAGCGCAAGUGACGGUAUGUGCAGAAGAAGGACCGGCCAACUACGUGCCAGCAGCCGCGGUAAUACGUAGGGUCCGAGCGUUGUCCGGAAUUAUUGGGCGUAAAGGGCUCGUAGGCGGUUUGUCGCGUCGGGAGUGAAAACACCGGGCUUAACUCGGUGCUUGCUUUCGAUACGGGCAGACUAGAGGCAUUCAGGGGAGAACGGAAUUCCUGGUGUAGCGGUGAAAUGCGCAGAUAUCAGGAGGAACACCGGUGGCGAAGGCGGUUCUCUGGGAAUGUCCUGACGCUGAGGAGCGAAAGUGUGGGGAGCGAACAGGAUUAGAUACCCUGGUAGUCCACACCGUGAACGUUGGGCGCUAGGUGUGGGAUCCAUUCCACGGGUUCCGCGCCGCAGCUAACGCAUUAAGCGCCCCGCCUGGGGAGUACGGCCGCAAGGCUAAAACGUCAAAUGAAUUGACGGGGUCAUAGCUGUUUCCU